RNAcentral lists this ribosomal RNA (450 nucleotides) under uncultured bacterium. Its description in RNAcentral is "bacterial SSU rRNA". It matches the Rfam family "Bacterial small subunit ribosomal RNA", at positions 354 to 796 of the family's 1533-position model. The record is from RNAcentral.
GUGGGGAAUUUUGGACAAUGGGCGCAAGCCUGAUCCAGCAAUGCCGCGUGCAGGAAGAAGGCCUUCGGGUUGUAAACUGCUUUUGUACGGAACGAAACGGUCCGGGUUAAUACCCUGGGCUAAUGACGGUACCGUAAGAAUAAGCACCGGCUAACUACGUGCCAGCAGCCGCGGUAAUACGUAGGGUGCGAGCGUUAAUCGGAAUUACUGGGCGUAAAGCGUGCGCAGGCGGUGCUGUAAGACAGGCGUGAAAUCCCCGGGCUCAACCUGGGAAUUGCGCUUGUGACUGCAGUGCUGGAGUACGGCAGAGGGGGAUGGAAUUCCGCGUGUAGCAGUGAAAUGCGUAGAUAUGCGGAGGAACACCGAUGGCGAAGGCAGUCCCCUGGGCCUGUACUGACGCUCAUGCACGAAAGCGUGGGGAGCAAACAGGAUUAGAUACCCGUGUAGUCC